Molecule: long non-coding RNA, 511 nt
Organism: Homo sapiens (human)
Lineage: Eukaryota; Metazoa; Chordata; Mammalia; Primates; Hominidae
Exons: 2
Source: RefSeq, a predicted model, not a curated record
GUGGACAGUGGGUAGAAAGAAGGAGAGAGAAAGGAAUCUGCUUCCACGCUUCCAAUGGAGAGGUUCCACUAACUUCGGAUUCCCAGUGUAUAGACAUUCUCUUCUUGGGAGAAAAGACUCCUAGAGGCUAUGUAGGCCAAGCCGACUCCCUGUUCCACCUAAGAACUUACUGGAGACAGUCAUCGAGCCUUCUGAGUCCUCCUUUCUCCAAGUCCUUCAGCGGAACCUCAAUGGAUACCACAUGGUUUCUACAUUUGCAGCCACCCUCCUCAGAGCACUUUGUCAAUAUCCUUCCUGAACUGUGACUCCUGCUUUGACACAUUAUUCUAACUCUUUUCUUCUCUUGUUAUGCUAACUUCGUCUUAUAUUGAUAUCUAACUUUUCGUGGUUCUAUGCCUUGUCUGCCUUACUAAGUUCUGUCCUUUAUUUAUGGUGACGGCAUUUUGUACAGUGUAACUCCAAAGUAAGAAAGUCUUUAUUCCCCGGUCAAAUAAAGGUAUAUCCAAAUGAA